ACCUACAGCCAUACCACCCUGAACAUGCCUAAUGUUGUCCGAUCUCGGAAGCUAAGCAGGGAAGCAGGGUCAUGCCUGGUUAGUACUUGGUUGGGAGACUGCCUGGGAAUACCAGGUGCUGUAGGGU
RNAcentral lists this ribosomal RNA (127 nucleotides) under Cebus imitator (Panamanian white-faced capuchin). Lineage: Eukaryota; Metazoa; Chordata; Mammalia; Primates; Cebidae. The record is from RNAcentral.